RNAcentral lists this ribosomal RNA (697 nucleotides) under alpha proteobacterium JL073. Its description in RNAcentral is "bacterial SSU rRNA". It matches the Rfam family "Bacterial small subunit ribosomal RNA", at positions 30 to 773 of the family's 1533-position model. The record is from RNAcentral. Lineage: Bacteria; Pseudomonadati; Pseudomonadota; Alphaproteobacteria.
CGAACGCUGGCGGCAGGCCUAACACAUGCAAGUCGAACGGAUCCUUCGGGAUUAGUGGCAGACGGGUGAGUAACGCGUGGGAAGCUACCUUGUGGUAGGGAACAACAGUUGGAAACGACUGCUAAUACCCUAUGAGCCCUAUGGGGGAAAGAUUUAUCGCCAUGAGAUGUGCCCGCGUUAGAUUAGCUAGUUGGUAAGGUAAUGGCUUACCAAGGCGACGAUCUAUAGCUGGUCUGAGAGGAUGAUCAGCCACACUGGGACUGAGACACGGCCCAGACUCCUACGGGAGGCAGCAGUGGGGAAUAUUGGACAAUGGGGGCAACCCUGAUCCAGCCAUGCCGCGUGAGUGAUGACGGCCUUAGGGUUGUAAAGCUCUUUCAGCAGUGAAGAUAAUGACAUUAACUGCAGAAGAAGCCCCGGCUAACUUCGUGCCAGCAGCCGCGGUAAUACGAAGGGGGCUAGCGUUGUUCGGAAUCACUGGGCGUAAAGCGUACGUAGGCGGACUGAUCAGUCAGGGGUGAAAUCCCGGGGCUCAACCCCGGAACUGCCUUUGAUACUGUCAGUCUUGAGAUCGAGAGAGGUGAGUGGAACUCCGAGUGUAGAGGUGAAAUUCGUAGAUAUUCGGAAGAACACCAGUGGCGAAGGCGGCUCACUGGCUCGAUACUGACGCUGAGGUACGAAAGCGUGGGGAGCGACA